CUCCUCCCACACUAUUCGUUUACACUAACCACUUCCUUAUCCACACCAAUCCAGAACGUUCCUCAAAAAGCUCCCUCCUUUUCUCUCAAAAUGGCGUCUGCAAACGCUCUCUCUUCCGCCUCCGUCCUCUGUUCUUCCCGUCAGGUACAAAGUUUGUUCCUUUUUACCUUCCUUAGCUACUUACUAAAGAAGAAAAUGAAUCAUCUUUCAUUACUUUGUUUUGAUUGGAUUUGACCCUUCAGUGUUAUCUAUUUUCAAAAACCUUUCUCUAUCUGGUUUAUUGGGUUUUUGAAGAAAGUGAUUGAAUUUGACCCUUUAGUUUGUUCUGUUUCAAUUCAAUUGCUUUUCUCUAUUUGGUUUCUGGGUUGGUGAGAAAAGGUUAAUUUUUAUGGGAAUUAGAAGAAACUGAUUGAGAUUAAUGUUAAUGAAUCUGCUUUAUUGAUGUUGUGGGUAUACAGAGUAAGUUGGGAGGAGGAAAUCAGCAGCAAGGUCAGAGAGUUAGCUACAACAAGAGGACAAUCAGACGUUUUAGUGUUAGAGCUAAUGUAAAGGAAAUAGCUUUUGACCAGCACUCUAGAGCUGCUCUACAAGCUGGUAUUGAUAAGCUUGCUGAUUGUGUUGGUCUCACUCUUGGCCCUAGAGGUAUUUGUUAAUAUUAGUAGCUCCUUUACUCUUUCCAUCUUCAUCUGUGUUAUUUAUCUUUCGACUUAUCUUGGUGUUUUCAUUUGUUAUUCUUAAGGGAGGAAUGUUGUGUUGGAUGAAUUUGGAAGUCCUAAGGUUGUGAAUGAUGGAGUCACCAUUGCUAGAGCUAUUGAGUUACCUAAUGCCAUGGAAAAUGCUGGUGCAGCGCUUAUUCGUGAGGUUGGUGUAGCUUUGUUAUUGUCUCUGUUAAUGCUAUUUAUACGGUGCGGUAAUCUGGUGUUGUUAUGUGGUAGGUUGCGAGUAAGACUAAUGACUCUGCUGGUGAUGGGACAACCACUGCGUCUAUCCUUGCUCGGGAGAUAAUCAAACAUGGAUUGUUGAGCGUCACUUCUGGUGCGAAUCCCGUUUCACUCAAGAGGGGAAUUGAUAAGACUGUUCAAGGUCUGAUCGAAGAGCUUCAGAAGAAAGCUAGGCCCGUGAAAGGUCGUGAUGACAUCAGAGGUACUAACUUUGCAGUGACCUUCCUUGUGAUGCAGCAAUGUUUGAUUUCUUUUACUGAUCAAUCUGUUCUUUUUUUUUUUUCCAGCUGUGGCUUCUAUCUCUGCUGGAAAUGAUGACCUUAUAGGGUCAAUGAUUGCUGAUGCCAUCGACAAAGUUGGACCUGAUGGUGUUUUGUCCAUUGAAUCUUCAUCUUCUUUUGAGACCACGGUCGAAGUUGAAGAAGGGAUGGAGGUAUGAGUUUUUUUGUCUUGCUUCUCUUCAACUGUAAUUUUAUUCACCAUUCAUUGCCAAUGACUAACUUGAUUAUUUACAGAUUGACAGAGGUUACAUCUCGCCUCAGUUUGUUACAAACCCUGAGAAACUACUAGCUGAGUUUGAGAAUGCUAGGGUAUUGAUCACUGAUCAGAAGAUCACUGCGAUCAAAGACAUCAUCCCUAUUUUGGAGAAGACCACUCAGCUUCGUGCUCCGUUGUUGAUUAUUGCAGAGGAUGUUACUGGUGAAGCCUUAGCUACCCUUGUCGUGAACAAGCUUCGUGGUGUCCUCAAUGUUGUUGCCGUUAAAGCGCCAGGAUUUGGAGAAAGAAGAAAAGCCAUGCUUCAAGAUAUUGCAAUCUUGACAGGUAUAUGCAGAUUUCGCGUGCGUUUAGUACUUUUACUUUCUCUCUGUUAUGGUCUAAACUUUUUAUCAUUUUGUAUGUUUUUCAGGAGCUGAGUACCUAGCCAUGGACAUGAGCUUACUGGUUGAAAACGCAACCAUAGAUCAAUUGGGUAUUGCCCGAAAAGUCACGAUUAGCAAAGAUUCGACUACCCUCAUUGCAGAUGCAGCUUCCAAGGACGAAUUACAAGCUCGGAUUGCUCAGCUGAAGAAAGAACUAUUCGAGACUGAUUCUGUGUAUGACUCAGAGAAGCUCGCUGAGAGAAUUGCGAAGCUAUCUGGAGGUGUUGCUGUCAUUAAAGUCGGAGCAGCAACUGAAACUGAGCUUGAGGACCGUAAGCUUCGUAUCGAGGAUGCAAAGAACGCAACAUUUGCUGCUAUCGAGGAAGGCAUAGUUCCAGGUGGUGGUGCUGCUUUGGUGCAUCUCUCCACUGUUAUUCCCGCCAUUAAGGAGACUUUUGAGGAUGCUGAUGAACGUUUGGGAGCUGACAUAGUACAAAAGGUAGCAUUUAGUUUUUCGGUUCAGUAUUUGUUCUGUAACCAAUUGUGACUAGUUAUCUUAUAAGGGUUUAUGUUUUGAGUUCAGGCAUUGCUGUCACCAGCUGCUCUUAUUGCUCAGAACGCUGGAGUUGAAGGAGAAGUUGUUGUGGAAAAGAUUAUGUUCAGCGAUUGGGAGAAUGGGUACAACGCAAUGACUGAUACAUAUGAGAAUCUGUUCGAAGCUGGAGUGAUUGAUCCGGCUAAAGUGACAAGAUGUGCGCUACAGAACGCUGCUUCCGUAGCAGGAAUGGUACUGACCACUCAGGCCAUUGUUGUUGACAAACCGAAACCCAAGGCUCCUGCUGCUGCUGCUCCUGAGGGUCUCAUGGUGUAAUCAAAACACAACAUCUUAUCAUCACAAUGGCAUCUUUGUCUUUUUGCACAUUUGUCAUCCCCAUUUAUCUGCAAUGUUUUUCUUUUUUGGGGGAAUAUGAGUAGUUUGUUAACAGUAUCGAGAAAUAAUUAUCAUCUUUUUUGUCCAAUGGAAAUUGCAGAAAAUGGUUAUGUAUGCGACCAAACAUUUUAUAUGUAGCGAGAGUAGUUUAGCAGAACAAUAAGCAAAUAUGCGUACAAACUGAAUAAUGUUCCAACUUACUAUACUAUUAAACUAGGAGGGAACAAUGUUUUUUCAUGCCUUUACUAGUUUUCUCAUAAAACUUGAUCUGGAUAUUGCACUUCGAUGAUCUACGAACCAUUAGCAGAUCUCCGGUGAUUCGAUACUUCUCCUUGUCGUUUAUUGCACAGGCACGAACUUUGACAAGCACAAGACAUGACAGUUUCUCUAUGAAAUGUCUCAUUUCCUCUAGCUCUUCAAUUGUUCCUUCAUAUUCAGUUAUCUUCAAUACUUUCACAGGACAUCACAAUCCAUAUAUUCUUGUAAAGUUAAGUAUAUAUACAGGGAGAUCAGACUCGUUGGAACCACUCGUACUUUGACUUGGAACUGCUCCAAAACUAAAAGAAUUUUUGGUAGAUGAUUAUGUAUGUAUCCUUCUCUUCCUCCUCUUCUUGUUCUAGCUUUGAUGGACUAAAAUACUAGUCAAAAUUUUGCUUAAUAUAUACCCCUUAUUGCUUCUCAGAGAUAUAUCUACAAAACCGAGGAUCUUCCAUUUUGAUGGAAUCAACCGAGUCUUGUUCCCGGAUGCUUGUCAUCGCAGCUAGAGAUAUUCGAGUGGAAAGGAUAUAGAGAUAGAGUAGAAGGGGAAAAAUUCUUGACAUACAUUUUAGCCAACUCUAAGCGUUUAAAGACCGCAACAAUCUCUCUGCCCUUCGAUCUUGAAGAUCAAGAGGUGAUCAUCGAGGAGUUGAAAGAUAUUCCUAGGGUUUCAACAACAUCUCACCUUUUGUUCAUAUGAAAAUUCUAUGGAAGCUUGGCGAAUGGGCAAGCUUAGACUACUUAUCUGCUAUUAUAUGUUUUAAUCAACUUGCAAAGAUUAGUAACAUAAAAAAAAAUAUUAAGAAUUCUAGACAAGUUAGACUACUUCCUACAAACGUGUAGUGGAAGGUGCUAAUAUUUGCCAAUACAACAUUAAUAAGAAUCUUUAAGAAACCAAUCCAUGCCUAGAAAUAUAAAUUUCAACUCAAGCGCCUAAGCAACUUCGCAUAUUAUUCAUUAAAAAUUUAAAACUUUAUUGAUAGGACAUAGAUAAAUAACAAACUGAAGUUAACCAAACAAACUGAAGUUGAAAAUAAUAAUAAAGAUAGAAAAGAGACUCUCUAGGGUUUGUUUCUUCAAUUCCACAAUGCAGAACAAUUGGUGGGACUGAAAGAAACCAGAAGUGAAGAAGAAUCAUAACCCACCAAGAAAUUGUUCUGUGCUCUGUUCCCAAAGAUAGCUUCUUGUGUUGGACUAUUACAUAUAAUAGCCAGACAAAAAACUCCUCCGUUAUUCGAUUCCAUAUACAUAUUGUACUUAUCCAAGACAAGAUCAACACCGCCAGAAAAAUGCAUUGUGAUCACCGGAAAGAUAUCUAUGGUGUCCGAGUUGUAGCAAAGCAUGUCAUUGCCGGUCGGGUCAGCUGCUCGAACCGCUGUCACAACGUGUUCCACUGCCUGUCUUACUAGAUUGCAGUAGCUCACUGGAAAGUACGUGAGAGUGGUUCCAGAGUCUAUAACUAUGUUCCCUUCUAAGGCAUGAAACGUUGUCCCCAUUGUCUCAAUGCGGGUGUUCCCAACGCUGACCGCGUCUAGGUUUAGGUAAUAGAAACCUGGUUUCGCCGUCGUCAUAAACAUAGUGGUUGAUACAACCCCAUCUCCUGCCACAAUAGCAUUCGCUCCAAAAUUGAUCUUACUAGUUCCUUGACCAGAAAAGCAGUAAGACAUCAAACCUGGGUACUCACCGCCCAUCUGAGUGAUGAGCGAUGAAGGUCCCCAGUUUAGACCAACCAUGCCCGAAAAACUAGGUUUAAACCAUGAGUUGUUGUGGCCACAACCAAUAAUGGUUUCAGGCAUCACAAAGGGUUCCCCUGAAGUGGAGUGGAGUGUGAUUGUCUCGGUUGCUAAGGUUCCCAUGGUGUAGGUAUGGUCGAAGUAAUCUACCUCGUAAGGACAAGAGUGGCCAUCGCAUCUUUUCUCCUUGAAGGUUGAGGAUUUCGAAGGGUCGAAUAUAGGAGCGUUUUGUUCGUAGCAGUGAACACAAGGCAAACAUUGUGUCCAUGUGAUCUCGCUUCCAGUGUCUAUGAUAGCUUGGAUCUCGAAAGGAGGAGUACCGACUUGUAGUUUCAUUAGAUACACGGAGUUAUCAAAGACGGUAUUAGCGUAAGGUGAUGAUCCGGACUGAGUAUUAGAGACUCGAGAAGAAGCAUUGGAGCGACGGUGGAUCAAGUCCAUGGUGAAGCCGUGAGGUGGUGAGGCUGUGGUCGUGAAGAGAAAACAUAAACUGAUUUGAAGAAAAAGAACGAUUAUUGUGGUUGCAAGAGACAUUGCUAUCGAAUAAUAUUUUUGGGUUUUCAGACACAAUGCAAUGUUCUUCAUUCAUGCACAUAUUUAUACAUGUUAGAGCUUUUGUCAUAAUUGUUAAUUUUCCAAUUUAUCAACUUCGUCCAAUUUUUGUUAUUUCCAUUACGUCUUCUAACUUGGGGGAAUUUUACAUUUUGAUACUACUAAGUUUUAUUUUUCUUUCCAGGUUUUACAUUCUUUUAGAUUUACUUUUUGUAUUAAUGGAAAUUAUAAUUUUUUAUGACCAAUUUCGUAAGAAAAUUGUAGAAAACAACUGUUUCUUACCAAUUUCGUAGGAAACGGCUGUUUCUUAUCAUUUUCCUACCAAAAUUAUUCCUAGCAAAUGUUCUGUACAAAAUCGAAAGUGGUAGAAAAUUUCCUACGAAAAUAAAUUGGUAGAAAAUUCAUUGAAAAUUUGGUAAAACAAUGGAAAGAAAAUUUUGACCGAUUUUCUACCAAGAUAUUCGUAGAAAAAUAUUUCUUACUAAUUGUUUCCUAUGAAUCUCUAAUUAAUUAAAAAUGUAUAUAAUUAAAUUGCUUUCAAUAAUAUAUUAAUUACGAAAAUUAAAUUCAAAAUUAUAAAUAGUCAUUAUCUAUUAAUCUGAAUAAUACUCCAUCUGUUCAUUUUUGUUUGAUUUUCUAAAAAAAAUAUAUGUUUCAAAAGAUUGAUUUUUUAGGUUUUCAAUGUAAUAUUUAUUAGUUAUUAUUAAUGAAUUGUAAACUUUAACAAAGAUGGUUGAAUAUUAUUGGUUUAAAGUUAUAGAAAAUUGUAAACACACAAAAAACAAUACAUUUAAAAUUAACUUUAAUAUGUUUUUUUAAUAUGUGUAUUUUUCUAAACAAUAAAAAAAAAGGAACAGAGGGAGUAAUAUUUAUACUAUCAAAUUAUUUAACAAAAAUAAAAUAAAUAUCUAAAAUCAAUUUGAAAAUAAAUUUGAUUGUUUGCUCCAAAAACAAAAAACAAAUUGAUCAACUCUUGCAUUGAUGGAUGACCAUUGUGGAGUAUCCUCUCGAAUAUAUAAGUGAGUUCGAUGAGCUGAAAAAACGUAAGAUAUUUCAACACUUUGACAAUAAGUUAUAAAGAAAACAAUUUACUAUGUCAAUAAAUACCUUGAGAAAUAAUCUGAAAAGGGCAGUAGAUUGUACCAUCGUUAAUCCGUCUUCUCAUGAAGACCAAAAACUCAAUUGCUCCAUGUUGGUAAUGAUGUAUGCCUGCGAAGCCAUUUCAUGUAAUCAGAUUAAAUGUUCAAGAAGAGCAACGAGGACAAUUAAAUGUUCAAAUAAAACCAUCUAAGAGACGUAUUCAUAUACCAUAAAAUAAGGACAGCAGCAAAACAUAGAUAAUGGGAGAGAAAAUUAACAAACUUCAGCAAAAAAUCAAAACUUGAAUGAAUGAAAACGAUGCUAAGGUCUCAAACCAACUUCAAGACGAUCAAACGUAUAACAAAGAAACGAAAUCAAACAGUCACAAAAAAAGAGAGAAAGAGUAAAGGGUUAUACAUACCAGAAAAUCUCCUUUAAACUCUAGAAAAUCUCCGUAUCUAAGGUCUAAGUCAUUGGAAAUCUAGGUGUUUUCUUCUAAUCUUCAUGCCCUUUUGGUGAUGAUGCUUAGUUACAAUGUUAAGACAGAAUAUGAGAAUUGAACAAAUUGAUGCAUCUAGAACAAUGUCUUGUUAAUGUAUUUCCUGUAAUCUGUCUUUUGGUGAUGAAUCUUGAUGCUAUUUAAAAUGUUAGAGCUUGAGCAAUUGAGACAGGUGCAUAACAAUGUUUGAUGCGUUUAGUUGACAAAGUUCAUGUUCUAGAUUGUAUAUUGUUAACAGAGUUUCUUGUUAUCUCUUUGGAUACUAUAUAUACAAUGUUUAAGACAGAUAUGAUAGACAUUGAACAUUGAACUAAAGGCUGUGUGUGUAUCCUUACAGGUGGAGUAUCUUCCUAUAUCAUCAAUGGAAAUAGCAAGAAAAGUGAUGGAGGAGUUCUUGGAGAUAUGGAAUGAAGCUCUGGCUAAAAGGUCGUUACCGGGUAAGUUUGUGAACAAAGAUCUUAACUUUGGGGAGUUUGGACUUGGAGACAACUACACUCCACAACACACCGCUGUUCGUAAUUACGCUCUCGUUAUGGCUCACAUGAUUGCUACCGUUCAAGCUGUGAGUGGCUAAACCAAAACUCAGCUUUGUAUUUAGGUAGAAUUCUGUGUUUUGCGUUAUUAGUGAUUUCGUUAGCCAUGUUUAUCUAUAAGAAGCAUUGAGAAAAAAAUUGGACUUUUAUAGCAGAUUGUGAUUUGAAUUUCGAUUAAUUAUGUAACUCAUUGGCAUAUUCUUUCAUUAAAACCUAUCUAUGUCGUAUGCUUUUAAUUAAAAACGGACAAAUAAAUAGAAGUUAUAACUAUAAAAAGGUCAAAAAGAGACUCUCUAGGGUUUGUUUCUUCAAUUCCACAAUGCAGAACAAUUGGUGGGACUGAAAGAAACCAAAAGUGAAGAAGAAUCAUAACCCACCAAAAAAUUGUUCUGUGCUCUGUUCCCAAAGAUAGCAUCUUGUGGUGGAUUAUUACAUAUAAUAGCCAGACAAAAGGUUCCUCUCGUAAUCGUUUCGAUAUACAUGUUAUACUUAUCCAAGACAAGAUCCGCACCGCCAGAAAAAUGCAUUGUGAUCACGGGAAAGAUAUCUAUGGUGUCCGUGUAGUAGCAAAGCAUGUCAUUGCCGGUAGGGUCGGCUGUUCGAACCGCUGUCACAUAAUGAUCCACUGCCUCUCUUACUAGGUUGCAGUAGCUCACAGGAAAGUAGGUUAGAGUGGUUCCAGAGUCUAUAAUUAUGUUCCCUUCUAACGCAUGAAACGUUGUCCCCAUUGUCUCAACAUGGGUGUCCCCAACGCUGACCGCGUCUAGAUUUAGGUAAUAUAAACCUGGUUUCGCCGUCGUGAGAAACAUAGUGGUUGAUACAACCCCAUCUCCUGCAACAAUAGCAUUUGUUCCAAAAUUGAUCUUACUAGUUCCUUGACUAGCAAAACAGUAAGACAUCAAACCUGGGUACUCACCGCCCAUCUGAGUGAUGAGCGAUGAAGGUCCCCAGCUUAGACCAACCAUGCCCGAAAAAGUAGGUUUAAACCAUGAGCUGUUGUGGCCACAACCAAUAGUGGUUUCAGGCAUCACAAAGGGUUCCCCUGAAGUGGAAUGGAUCGUGACCGUCUCGGUUGCCAAGGUUCCCUUGGAAUAGGUUGUGUCCGCGUAGAUAAUCUUGUAAUGACAAGAGUUCCCGUUGCAUCUUUUUUCUUUGAAGGUUGAAGAAUUCGAAGGGUCGAAUAUAGGAGCGUAUUGGCUGUAGCAGUUAGUACAAGGCAUACAUUGUGUCCAUAUGAGGUCACUUCCUGUGUCUAUCUCCGCUUCGAUCUCGAAAGGAGGAGUACCGACUUGUAGUUUCAUUAGAUAGAUGUUGUAGUCAAAUAAAGUAUCGGCGUAAGGUGAUGCUCCUUGCAACUGAUUUUUGGACAGUCGAGAAGAAGAUGAAUUCGAACGACGCUGGAUCAAGUCAAUGGUGAAGCCGUGAGGUGAUGAGGCAGUGGUCGUGAAGAGAGAACAUGUAAUGAUUUGAAGAAAAAGAACGAUCAUUGUGGUUGCAAGAGACAUUGAUUGAUAUCGAAUAAUAUUUUUGGUUUUUCAGACACAAUGUAAUGUUCUUCAUUAAUUCAUGCACAUAUUUAUACAUGUUAGACCUUUUGUCGUAAUUGUUAAGUUUUCAAUUUUGUCAACUUCGUUCAAUUUUGUUAUUGCCAUUACGUCUUCUAACUUGGGGGAAUUUUACAUUUUGUUACUACUAAGUUUUAUUUUUCUCUCUAGGUUUUACAUUCUUUUAGAUUGACUUUUUGUAUUAAUGGAAAUUAGAUGAUCACCUUGCUAUAGCAAAAUGUAUAAUUUCUUGGAAAUUUUAGUCUAAAGUUAUUGUUGAUGAACCUAAAAUUCAAAAUAUACUUUUAUAGAUAGAUAUUGGUUUUGGAUAACUUAAUCUUCUUGCCAUAAAACCAUCUCCUACCUAUGGUAUCUCACCAGAGUCUGAAGUUAUAUUUGAACAUAUGAGAGGGCUCAAACGGCUCGGUGGGAGGAGUUAAUUAUCACAACUUGUGGCUGCUAGGGCUCUAAAGAGGUUUGGAAUAUGAGACUUUACGUAUUAUAGGUUUCUUUCUGUUUUUCUACAAACUUGUUAAUAUUAUCAUUUGGAAGGUGUUAAUCUUGCCAAUCCUUAAGCAACCCAUAUCAAUGCAAGAAAUAUACAGAUUCUAAGUAACUUUGCAUAUUAUUCAUAUAAACAUAUCCAUGGUCUAUGCUUUUAUUUUGAUAAGAUAUAUAUAAAUAACAAACUGAAGUUAACCGAGAAAAACAAACUGAAGUUGAAAAUGAUGGAAAAGAGACUCUCUAGGGUUUGUUACUUCAAUUCCACAAAGCAGAACAAUUGGUGGGCUUGAAAGAAACCAGCAGUGAAGAAGAAUCAUAACCCACCAAGAAAUUGUUCUGUGCUCUGUUCCCAAAGAUAGCUUCUUCUAUUGGACUAUUACAUAUAAUAGCCAGGCAAAAAACUCCUCCUGUAUUCGAUGCCACAUACAUAUUGUACUUAUCCAAGACAAGAUCCGCACCGCCAGAAAAAUGCAUUGUGAUCACCGGAAAGAUAUCUAUGGUCUUUGAAUAGUAGCAAAGAAUGUCACUGCGCGGGAAUCGAACCGCUGUCACAACCUGUUCCACUGCCUUUCUUACUAGGUUGCAGUAGCUCUCAGGAAAGUACGUGAGAGUGCUUCCAGAGUCUAUCACUAUGUUCCCUUUUAAGGCAUGAAAGGGUGUCCCCACUGUCUCAAUGCGGGUGUUCCCAACGCUGACCGCGUCUAGGUUUAGGUAAUAGAAACCUGGUUUCGCGGUCUUGACGAACACAGUAGUUGAUACAACCCCAUCUCCUGCCACAAUAGCAUUCGCUCCAAAAUUGAUCUUACUAGUUCCCUUACCAGCAAAACAGUAAGACAUCAAACCUGGGUACUCACCGCCCAUCUGAGUGAUGAGGGAUUUAGGUCCUCUGUCUAGACCAACAACGCCCGCAAAACCCGGUUUAAACCCUGAGUUGUUGCGGCCACAACCAAUAAUUGUUUCAGGCAUCACAAAGGGUUGCCCUGAAGUGGAAUGGAUCGUGACUGUCUCGGUCACUAAGGUUCCCUUGGUGUAGCUUUUGCCGCCGUAGACAAGCUCGUAAGGACAAGAGUGAUCAUGUGUGUCGCAUCUUAUCUCUUUGAAGGUUGAGGAUUUGGAAGGGUCGAAUAUGGGAGCGGUUUGGUUGUAGCAGUGAACACAAGGCAAACAUUGUGUCCAUAUGUGCUCGCUUCCGGUGUCUAAGACAGCUUCGAUCUCGAAAGGAGGAGUACCGAUUUGUAGUUUCAUCAGGUACUCGUAGGUAUCAAAGACGGUAUCAGCGUAAGGUGAUCCGAGCUGAGUAUUAAAGACUCGAGAAGAAGAUGCAUUGGAGCGACGGUGGAUCAAGUCGAUAGUGAAGCCCUGAGGUGAUGAGGCUGUGGUGGUAAUGAGAAAAUAUGUAAUGAUUUGAAGAAAGAUGGCGAUCAUUGUGGUUGCAAGAGACAUUGCUAUCGAAUAAUAUUUUUGGGUUUUCAGACACAAUGCAAUGUAUUUAUUGUUUUUUUUUAUGUUAAGUUUCAUCAAUAUAAAGAAAUAACAGAUUACAUUACAUAUAUAUAUAAUUAUAUUAAUUAGUUAUAUUUAUAUAAAGAAAUAACAGAUUACAUUCCAAAUAACAAAAAUAAAAUCUUAAGUUUAGUAGCAAUAAUUAAUAAUACAAUCAAAGAGCUAUAUUUUAUUAAAUAUCACAAUUAAGAUAAUAUAAGAAAUGUUAUCAAGGAAAAUAUUGAAGAUAUGAAGUCUAUAUAAGGGAAAAUAAUAUUACAUAUACAUGAUUUUAUCAAAAGACUAAAAUGGUGACAAAAAUUCUAUCAAAACAUAAUUUUGAAUUUUUUUAAACGAAAAUAUAAUAUUAUUGCCAUAAGCUUGCUAAUAUUUUGUUCUCCUGUUAUAGUAUUAAAAAGAAAGAAAAAAAAGUUAUGAGAUUCAAAAUUUUGCGAUUUACCUUCAAUCUUCAAGUAGUCCCUCGACCUUAUUUUGGUUGUCAUGAAAGAGUUAGCAACAUGGACCUAAUCAAACUAACGUUCCUCGUCCUCGGUCCCCAUAUCAAUCCUUCUCCUGUCACCAUUCCCUUUCAUCUUCAUCCGGAACCACAAAUCUUUCAAAGAAUGUAUCUUUUGGAGGUAUGGAACAACUAUGUGCACAUCACUAUACUUCAUGUGUAUCUUUGAGUCUUAGUUGAGCUAGUCAGCUAGAUUACCAUAUCUUCGACAUUAAGUUUUUGUAGUUGGACUUGGAGACUUGGUAAGGGAAAGGCGUGUCAUCUCACUCUUUAGGUAAUAAGAAAGAAGAUAAGUCUUCCUCGACUACGACCACAUCUUCAUUUCAGACCAUAUUGAGAACACGAUUUUGGUUUAAUACCACACUUAACCACAAUGGUAAUCAGCAUUUGUGCCUCUUUCCUGUUUACUUCAAACAACGAAUCAGCUAAUCUUUCACAUAUCGUAGCACCAGGAAUGAAUCCAUCCCUAAUCAUCUCAGCCACCACUUCCAAAGAUUUAUCUAUCAUUCCUACUCUGUAACACUCUUCACUCAAUGUACUAUACAUUUCUUCAUCAAUCUCAAACUCAUUCACUCGCAACUCAUUCAAAAAACUCAUCGCUUCACAAACUUUCCCAGCUUUGCAAAGUCCAUUCAUCAACACCCAAUACGUAUCUUUGUUCGGAGUAACACCUCGAGAACUCAUUUCGCUAUAUAGUUCAAUCACUUUCUCCACUAGUCCAAACCGAGAGUACCCAUUCAUAAUCAAAUUAUACAGAUAACUCUCCACUCUUAACUUCUUAUCAUGCAUCAUCAAAACCAACCUCUCUGCUUCUUCAACCUUACCAUAACUAGUAAACCCAUCAAUCAAAACCUUGUAACUAUCGAGAUCAAGCAUCACACUUUCCUUCUCCAUUAACUUAAGAACCAAAUCCAACUCUUCAAAAUCCCAUCUUUUCACACAACAACCAAUCAUCGACUUAAACGUAACAAUAUUAGCCUUAACCCCUUUAACCAACCCCAUCUCCUCCACCAAUUCUCUUGCUCUUGUAAUCUCCCCAUUGCAACACAACACCGUAACAACAACAGUUAAAGAGUACACAGUAACAACAUCAAUCCCUGACUCAACCAUUAGACUAAAGAAAUCUCUAGCUAGUUCCAUCUGAUCACAUCUCUUGAGAUUCAACAAAUGCAAAGUACAAGUCUUUUCAUCAAUCUUAACUUCAUUGUUCUUCAUAUACUCAAAAACCUCAACAACUUCACUAAAUUUUCCAUUGUCUGAAUAAACCAUAAUCAUCGAAUUAAAGAACCUCCCAACAACUUUCUUCUCACAACCACAUUCAUCAAUAACGCUAGAGACGAUUACAUUAAAAGGGUACCUGAGAAUGUCAUCAAUAGCCACAGGCUUCAAGAGUUCUUUCGCAUAUGAGAAUCUCCUCUCCGACAAGACACGGAAAGUGAGAGACAAGUGAGUUCUGAGAUCAGGUUGGAAUGAGAAAAGAGAUGGGUUCUCCAGGAUGAAAUUGAAAAGGGAGAUGCAUUUCCAGGAUUUGAUAUCUGGGUCUGAUAAAAUACGGCGAAGAGUGGAGAGAUUGAGAUCGGAGAGUGGUGUUUCCGGUGAAGCAAGAGUUUGGUUUAUAGAGGAAGAAUUGAGGAGAAGCUUGUAGAUUGAGAAUGUAUAAGUUUGUUUAGCUGUCUUCAGGGUUUUCAAGAAGCAUUGCGGAGUCAUCGAAUCGUCUCGUCGGCGGCUUUGGCUCACUCACCACUCCGUUCAUCAGAACUGGAAAUUUGAACCGGCCGCUACAAAAGUGGCAAGAUGUUCGGUUUUCUAAUAUGAGAACGGCAUGAUUUGUUUAUCACCUUCAUGUCUCCGAACAUUUUAUUUAUUAUCUAAGUUAUAGGCUUAUUAUAGCUUAAGAAAAAAUGGCUUAUUAUAGGCAAUCUCAUAUGGACCUCUUGGAAGAGAUCUCCAUGUACAAAGACAUUGUUCGACAUACAUCUGAUCUACUGACCAAUCACUUCUCGCUAUAAAGAAUAAUUCCCAUUUUAGCUACUAGAACAAAUGUAUCUCCAUAAUCAACACAUUCAGUCUGUCGGUUUCUGAGUGCCACGAGUCUGGGUUUGUAUAUCUCACUCUAUGGUUCCAUGAGAUCAGUAUUUUACUAUAAUAUAUUCAUUUGCACACAAUUGCCUUUUUUUCUUUCGGGGCAAAGUUUCAAGAUUCCAUGUAUGAUUGUCUUCUAAAGCAUCAAUUUCAGUUCCCAUUAUGUUUCUUCUCAUCUUGUAACCAAUAGCUUGCUGAAACAUUUUUGGUUAUGUUAACAUUAUGUUAUGUAUCACAUAUAUAUAUAUAAGACAUAUAUAUAUAUAUAUAUAUAUAUAUAUAUAUAUAUAUUUUACACACAUGUUACUUAAUAUACUAUAUUACACACAUUUUCUUAUUGUUAGUUCAUAAACAUAAUACACAUUACUGUCAUGUUUUGUUUAUUGUUUUGAUAAAACUGACUGUCAUGUUAUGUUUCAGUUUAAACGAAGAAGCGUAUAUAUCAAUUUAAUCUUAUGUAAUAGUUAUUGAAUAUGCAUCCAUUUUACAAUGUUUUAACAAAAGAAAUAUAAUUUUACAAUGUUUCAACCGAGAAAUCAUACUUUAUUGUUAAAAAGAAAAAAUGACAUUUUGAAAUCAUAUAUAUAUACAUUUUGUAAUGCCCACUCAUUGGAUUCCGCUAGUUGGUGCUACUGAAAUAUUGAUAAGGCAUAUGCGUGAAUAAAUGUUAAAAGUGGAUAAUAAUUUCCUCUUAUUUUUCGUUAACGUUUUCAUAACUCUACUUCUGAAUUUGGGUCGACCUAUCUUAUCUAUUAUCCACAUGUAUGUGAUGUGUACGUCAGUACGUAUUAAGAAUAUAUAUUACUUUGUGUCAUAUAUAUUACUUUAAUCAUUUCAACAUAAUCCAAAUGUAUAUUAAAAAAUAUUGUGGGAGCUAUAAAUAGAAAGAGAAACAAUCACAUAAUAAUUAGAAAAUUCUGAGUGAGAAAGACAAUAAAAAAAAGUUUGUAGUCAGAGAAAUAUUUGUUUUUCUAUAUCAAAGGUAAACUGUCUCGUCAAUUCUUUUGAUAAGGGUAAAAAUGUGACAUUGAAUUGCUAUAUUGGUAGAGCAAACUUGUUGAAUUCGGUAAAAACAAUUUGUAAAUAUAUCACUUUCAAAAAUUGCUCGGCAUACAAAAUACUUGAAAGAAGAUAUCGUCUAAAGCUAUAAAUAGUAAACUGAGCCAAAUUAGUAAGACAAACACAUUAAAAGCUUGAAGUUUGAGAAAAUUGGGAAUAAUAGAUACGACUAUAAAGAAAUGGUCCUCACAUACUCAGCGUUGCGUUUGAUUUCAAUGCUAAUGGACCACACACAUAUAUUCAUCCCCUCGAGCUAAUAUUACCAUCUCAUUUUGUCAGAUCCAUUAUACGCAAAGAUUCUAAUGUAUUUAUGUUUUGUUUUGCAUUUAUAUAUAAAAGCGAUGAAACAGCAAACUAGCUAUUUCGAUAAAUACGAAGAUAAUCAUAACACAAAAUAUUUACACAUAAAAUUCUUCCGAUUAAAACAUAUCGAGUCCAUUUAGGGACCCAAAUUGGUAAAUAUAUUAGCCAAAAGAGAGAACAAUAAGCGAUAAUUAAUAGAAUGUUUAGAGAUAAGAGAUAACAAAGAUGAAUAGUGGUACUACUUAUGUGAUUAGCAAUAUAGCUGCAAGUUGGAGUGAAGACAUAUUAUAUUAAUUGAGGUACUUAUUUUCGUAAAACAACAAUUUCAUUUGGCAAUACUGAAAAAUAUAUCCAAAAAUAUACGUGAUUGACGGACAUAUCAAAGAUAUCAUCAUGAUGUGAAAAUAGCUGCCAACUUGCUAUAUUGGUACUGAUAGAAUGAUUUGGCUUCCACUUAUGGACGAAGUCUAGGUCAUCCAAGGCAUUGCUCAAAACCAUUCGAUUCAUAGUGGAAGCUAUGAUAAAAAAAAAAAGAUUUAUUUCUACAAUGACUAAUGGAAAGUAAUUUAGACACACACAUCUCCAUAACAUAGAAAACAUUACUAAACACACAUAUAACAAGAUGUACUACAAGACAUAAUAACCAAAAAUAAUACUAAUAUUUAUAGAAUUUGUUUUGGAAACAAGUUUGGGAGGUUGUGCUCAUAAACAAAACAUGAAACUCAUAACUGUGAAUAGGUUUUGUUCACAGUCUGAGUAUAUAUGAUGCUAUAGAUUUAUUGUUCCCUUAUAACAGAAUAAAGAGAAAAAGAGAGUAUAUAUUCUUCAUUGUUUCAAUAUCAGUUAUAAGGACGAAAUCUAAAUAUGUAAAUAGAGGGGACACAAAUAGGUUGGACUGAAUAUGCCUAGCCUACAAUGUGUGUAAGGUCCACCCAACAAGUUCUUGAUUGAUUCUCAAUUUGAAUGUAAUAGCCAACAUGAACCAACAAAACAAAGAACUGACAGUGUGUCUUGAAAACCUUUUCUUUGCUAGACAACAAUAGUUCCAUAUAGACCUGUUAUAUAUAUUAUCUCAACUUCCAUAUAUAAUAUCCUUUUUUGUUUCUAACAAAACAAAACUAUAUUGUGUUGUUUUGGAAAUGCAAGGUGGGAUUGGCAACAUAAGAAAUAAGGCAUAUAUAUUAGUUACCUUAAGUAGAUCUCUCUUACCUUACUGAUCUUGAUGUUGUGACUCUUGUUCACUUAUUGAAAUAGAAGCUUGUGGAUCUAUUAAUGUCUUGAUAAAGACUGCCAAAAACCUGAGAUCAAAUGCUCAAUGUUAUCACAUGAAACAAGAUACCCACAAAAGUUCUUUGUCAGAUCUUUAUGUAUAACAAAUAAAAAUAAACGGGAGGAUAUGUUAACAUAAAGGUGAAAAAAAAAAACUUCAAGUAGAAACAAACCUACCUGAAGAAGAUCUGGAUGGAAUCCAAAUAAUCUAUACAGAGGGAGAGAGAGAGAGAGGGAAAGAAUAGUCGUUGAUUGCCGAUGCAGCAUCAUCAAGAUUCUCAUUUUCAUAGAGAACUUUGUGGAGAGUGAAUCACCACCGUCCAUCAACAGAUGUGAAUCUUGAUGAUGCCACAGCAGCCAACAACGACCGUGGCUCCGGAAAUUAGUCUUCCAUUUUUGUUUAACAAUCUUCUUGUAGUAAUCUUUUGUCUCUCAAACUCAAACUCAAACUCAAACUCAAACCCAAACUCAAACUUUGAGUGACUUACUACUUAACAAAUAUCAUCUAUAUGGUACUUAACCUUCUUAAUUUAUAGACACUAGAAACUCGUACCUUCAUAUAUAUAAUAUAUAAAUAUGUAUAUACAAACAUGGCGGAAUAGUCGAGAUGACUUGUUUUGAUUGAAGGAAUUUUGAAGUAACUAAGAUGUCAAAUUUAAUCUCGUAUACUUAGUUGGAACCUAACCAUCUCCAAACCAGAAGAAAAAAGUGAAAAAGAAUUGAAACCCUAAAAGAUAAAGAUGGCAGAGGGGAAGCAAAAACAGAUGAUCGAAUAACAUCUGAACUUCUUAAUAUAUACUGCUAAAAUAGUAAAACGAGACAAACCCACAAAUUUCUAUUUUUGAUUUGAAAAAAGCUUAAGUAUGACGUAUUUAUAACAUAUUACCAGAUCUUGGAAGCCAUAUAUUAACCAGAGAAAGACCUGGUGAGAUCUAGAACACAGAUGAGAGAGAGAGAGAGAGAGAGAUGUGUUUGUCUAAAUAUAUAUGCACAGUAAGAGAUGUGACUGUGUAAUAAUAUAUAUGUUGAUUUAUUUGGUAUCAUAUAUACAUAUGUUGAAUUUUUGUUACUAAAUGUUAAUAUAUGCAUAAAUAUUUUAUGAAGAGAGUUUGAUUGGCAGAAGUUGAGUUAUGGUAAAGAGAGUUGGGACAAAUGGAGUUAGGAGCUGCCAUCUUGGAGUCCACCUCGUGAAGGAAUAUCUCACUUUCCCACUUCACAUGUGUAAACUUCUUCUUAUUUGCGCAACUAUUAUUGGAUCUAUGCCCCUUAUAAAAAAAAAGAACAAAAAGAAUAGCAAUUUGAAGUAGCUAAAGUUUUAACAGUUCAGUGAAAUUAAAUAACAUUUGGUGGUAAGCUUUAAGCCUUUAACAGUGUAGUGAAAAUAAUUUAGUGAUUACAACUUAAAAACGUAGAGAAACUUAAAGAUAAACGGUAAGACGAAUUAAAAAGAGAGUGGCAAAACAAAGAGUAAUAAUUUAGUAAUUCGUUUAGUUGAAUUGAAUCUAUUUAGGUUAAGAAGAAAAACAUUGCCAAAUUGUCUUGGGAAAAGAAUAUGUACUUUUCUGCCCUGAGUUCAAUUCUCACUAGAAACAAAGUUAUGGUAUUUUUGGUAAGCAAUAAUGGCACAGUAUUGAUUUCAUGGACUGUAUUUUGGUAAGUCAAUUAAAUUCACUUUAAAAUUACUCGGAUUUUUCUGUGAUUCCGGAAUGUUGUUGUGUUAGCAUGGUCUUUGCAAAACAAGUUGAACCUUGCAUUACUCCGGUGUCGUCGAUGCAUUGCAAUUAGAUAUAUAUAUAUAUAUAUAUAUAUAUAUAUGUAUAUAUAUAUAUAUAUAUCCAAAAAUAGAUGGGAUAGUAAAAUAUAUAGAUUCAAGGAAUUAUCUGAAUGUUGUUUUUAAUAUAUACAAAAAAUUGAUUGUUGACACAUAUUGAGAUCCAAGACGGCAUAAAUACUAUGUGUACACAUAUGAAUACUACGACAGGACGUAAUUAAUCAUCUCUCAAAGAAAUUUGAACCCGGGACACAGUGAACCUUAAACCUGUUUUUGUACUAAGAAAAGCUGUAGCAAAAGAUAUUAAUUCAAUCUAUGGAGUACAUAGUAGAAAGUAGAAACAAUAAUUUCUCUAAGUACUACAGGUUAGCAAAACCGAUGAUACCGCCAAAACAUGCACACAAACUGAUCUUUAAACCAAAAGAUCUACAAGACAAAGAUUUUACGCACACAAGAAAAUGGUCCAAACAGUUUUAUUUCGAAUUGAACUAAAGAAAUGAAAGAGAAGAGUUCACGUGUUAAAAGUGGUCAAUGAAAAAUGUCUGUCUACAAAAUGAAACGAUUGGUGCAUCACGAAUAGAAAAUUAUUGUCAUCAAGCAAAGUUCGAAAACCACAUUCCCAAAUAUACAUAUAUGUAUUAGCUUCUUAUAUUAAACAUUAUAAUAAGAUUUAUAUUAUACUUGAAACAAAACCUAUAAUCUCAAAUUCUCAAUGGCAUCUAUAAUAACGAAUAAAAUUAAUCUUUAGUUAAGGAUCCUGACUACAUUUACUCUACCAUGUGUAGUAAAUUUAGUUUAUAGAUCAUACUUGUUUAACCUAAUAAAGUAUUAGCAGACGGACCUCCUUUAAUUACCUGCCAAAUGUCAUGUAAAAAAACCAUUUUCAUUGGUUAGUUAUUAUAAUAUGUUUGUCAUACAAUGUGUAAGAGUUGAAGAGAAAACAACAAAAUGGGGGGUGUGGUGCUUGAUUCUGGACGUGUCUCUCUCGAAGUUGGGAGUUUUAAUAUUGGCGGUUUGCAUAUUAAUUUUUGCUCUCAACGAUUUCUUAAUUUUUGUGGCAAACCUUUAUACAUCAAAUAAAUUGAAAGAAAGGGAGUAUAUAAAGUGGAUGAACCCGACUUUUAUUUAAAGAAAGUAAAAGCUAUAUAUAUUUAUAUAUAUAAUUAUAUACCCCACUAAUCAUAUAUUUAUUUCGAUUAGCAGGAAAAGCAAAUCCAUAUAUAUACCAAUUGUUUGAAAAAUUAACUAGUAACUUUAACCAGAUUAAUAUUUGUGUAUUGUAUAUGUUUACUGAUAAUAUAGAAAACUCGAAAGUAUGGUCUUCACUCUUCACUAUUCAGGUGGUUUGAAGUACUUUGUUGAACCCAAGGAACUCUGAUGCUAUUACGAGGAUCUGGUCUCUGGAUUAUUUUUUUGAAGUAUUAUUAUUUAUAAAAUAAUUGUCCACUAUCUAUUCGAUAAAGGUUACUUGGUUUAGGGUAAAGAUAGUUUUUGAAAACCCUUGGAAAAAGGAUUACCGCAAUUAUUAUUAGACUACUAACACUAAACUAUAAUAUCAUGGGAAUAUUUUUAUCAUUACCAAUACGCACUUGCCAAGUUACGUCACUGUGUUUAAACUAGAUUUUAGAAAAGAAAAAUAACAGAAUUUAGAAGAAAAUAAAAUAAAAUAAAAAGGUAUAACUAUUUUUGGUAGUUGUUAAUUUGUUAUAGCUUACAAAGCCAGUUUGUAAUUUUUGGGAUCGUUAGAUGCCUUUGGAGUGUGUGGUCUUUAAAAAGUGAAACUGAUGGAGAAUGAAAAAGGGAAACUGAAUUACAUGAAAAUAGGUUAUAUUGAUUGCAUUGAAUUGCUCAUUGCUCGUUGUUAUCGUGUUAGCAUACAUGCUAGAAUGACCAUUUUCACUAAUACUCACGCCUCUUUUUCGGGUGUAGGUGAAGAGUAGUUGUUUAAAAUUGUGUGUGCCAAGACUAAUGAGACUAUAAGAGAUUAAUUUUGAUUUUUAAAUUAUUUGAAUAAAACGGUAGCAUAGCUUUAGAUAUUAAUCUGCUUUUCUAUCGGACUAUCAAUAACAAACUUUCGUAUUUUAUUCAUAAUUUUGUUGUUUUAUUAGUUAUAACAGUUUUAAAUUCAAAUAAUUUCGAAAGAAAACCACUUGACACUGGGCCAGCCAGUUCUCAACGUGAAUUUAGCGCGUGUGUAGUCCUAAUUCCUAACCAAUGUCUUGAGCGGUUUAUAUCAUAUCUACCAACUAAAAUAAAAGUUAGUCUAUAAACUGGAAUUCUUUAGCCCAAUAAAUAUGAACUGUUAGUUCAUAAUUUAGCAGAUUAUAAAAAUAAUGUAAGGGAAUACAUAUCUUAUCUAGUCCACAUUUCGUAUCUUUCCAUUAAAUUUGAUUUUCAUUGUCCAAAAUAUUGAAAAGUAUCUAAAGGUGAGAUUCGAAUCAGGCCACCUGAAAGGGACCCCAAGUCCGUACAGUCUGAAGUGGAUAGGUGCAGAUUUUGUUGACAAGUUGGCGUUCUUUAUUACGUGUUCUCUUCGAACCGUCAUGAUUUCGUAGCCACCUCUUUUCCCCUACCUAUAUACAACACAACAAAUUUUUUUUACCCCAUAUAAAUUUAACUAUUUUUUUGAUUAAUUGUUUAAUUGGAAGAAACAAUUUUUUUCGAAAAAUAUCGUUAAUUUUGGUUUCGGAUAAACGGGUUAAACAAUCAGCUUUGACAUUUUUUUUUUUGUAAAUAUAGCUUAGACAUCUUCCUAUCGUGAAAUCCAUAAAAUAUAUACAAAAAAAUAUAUAUCAUGAAAUUGUUAAAUUCGUUUAGAAGAUUAAAGCAUGUUUCAUUGUCCUAAGCAUACGACAAAUGUAUGUCCAGUGUCAUUGUUUUUUGUUAGUUUCUAGGCUAAUUCUUUUGUGUGUUUUUUUUCUAACAAAAACUUGUAAUCUUAUAAACUUUUUAUUAAGAGAAAAGUAAACAGGAUAAAUGUAAUGACAUGGCUCCAAUGAGGUUGAGGUGGACCAAUAGCCCCAAUGGUACGUCACGUGACACUCAUGGUUGUUUCAUAAAAGUGCACCAGUAAGACACUCCUUGCCACGUGACCAAUGGGCUCAAGGACAGAGCCAUGGACCAAACUCUAUCACCCCAGUUCCUGUCUGGUCCCCUCUUCUUCACUUUCUUUUACUUUUCCAAUUCAAUGUGAAAAUGAAAUGUAUAAUGCUAAUGGAAUAAAUCAUUGCUUUUUCGUCUAAAGAUUUUGGAUUUUAACCCAUCACCAAAUUCGAUGAGAACAAAAAAAACGAUUUAAUAGAAAUGUUUUGAUGCGCCGAAAAAAAAAAUUGUACUAAUGGAAUCUCAUAAUGAGAGAAGCAACACAUUAUGUCGAUAGACAAAGUCAGCCAACUAUGAGUACUAAUUACAACGUUUCGAAUCCUCAUUGGCUUUGCUCUGUGUCAACAAAUCAAAUGAAAGACACUUUUUUUUUUGUAUUAUUAAACUUUGAAACAAAGUAAUAUAUAGACGACAAAAGAAAAUCUCAUAUGCAAAAGUUACACUAGAUCGAGUAAUUUAUUGUCAGAUUCAAAGGUGUACAACACAUAUGCCACAUCACAGUGUUUAUUUUAUAGCCUUUUCUAUAUUUUAGAGUCCAAAUUUCCAAAAAUAUAAGUUGUUUACAAAUACCUGCAUAGCAGAAAACUACAAAAACUAGGAUUUAGAGGGAAAACAUUAUGAGCACGACAAAAUUAAUAAAUUAAAAAGACUCAUAUGAAUUUUAAAAGAAAGAUUAUGGACCUACGAUAUAUGAUUUGAUAGCGAUAUAUGUUAAUUUUAUAUUAUAUAGUAUUUAUCAGUUUCAUGUGUUGGUUAAGAAACUUUUUAUUUUUGUUUUGACAAGAUAGCUGGUUUUUACUUUUAGCAGAGAGCGCAUAUAAUAACAUUGUGCUAAUUCACUAGGAUAAUAGCUAUACCAAAAAUAGACAGAGAAUCCAAUUUUAGUAAAUCAUAGUUCUGUAUAAUUUUGAGAAAAUAAGUGUGGCUUAAAUUUGGAGUUUGGACAUAUCAUAAUGAUCUUAAAUUUGGUAUGCUCUUGGCUAGUCACACUCAUGUUCAAGAAUCAUUUUGGAGUUACAUUCUAGUUCUAUGAGAUUUCAUACCUAAUUUCAAAAAGAGAUUUAGACAUUUACCUAUCCGGACAGGUCAAAGAAGAUGUUUUAAGAUCGAAAAUUUUAUUGGAUGUGUUAUUGAAUUUGGACCGGUAUACCCGUAACUUGGACAGUAAUCCAACCCAAAUAUAACUUUCAAACCGAAUUUACUUUUUAAUCUACCUAGACCUAGUAAAACUUGGCAAAACCGAAUGACUUUACAAAUAUAAAAAAACUUUGCAGAUAAAUUAUCUCUUUAGGCGGAUGAACAAAACGGAUAAAUUAAUAUUCUUCCCAAGAUGUUGAGCUAGGGGAGGUCAGACAAUUCUUUGGACAGAAUUUAGAUUCGCCACUAAACCAUUAGCUCUCCUAUCUGCUUUUUCCAUUAUUUAAUUUAUUUGUUAAUUUUUUUUUAUGUUUUUCUUAUAUAUUCGAAUUUGGUAGAAUUUAUGUUUCCCUACACUCUGUUUUUUUUGUUCUAAGUUAAAAUACGGUUAAAAAAAAUAUCAGAUAAGCAAUUUCCAAUCCGGAUACAAUUUAUUUUAUUCUAUAUUAGUUAUUUUGUUUUGUUUUUCAAUGUUAUAAUGCGUAAUAUAAUGUUUUUUAAUUUGUUCAAAUAAUAAUGUUAGUUUCAUAUAUGUGAUAUCAUGGAUUUAAAGUAGUUUCUGACGGUUGUAAGAUGUAUAAUUUGUUUUAACGUUACAUUGAUGAAACUUUCGAUGAAAUUGAAAAAAAUAUAGGGUUCUGGAUAUUAAUCAUAGUCUUAUUAAUAUCCAGAACCCAUUUUUUAAUCAAUUUUGUGCAAAUAAGCUCCCAUGCACAAACCAACUUUGUUUUUAUAUACUCCCUCUGUUACUGAAUAUUUGUAGUUUAAAGUUUUUGCACACAAAUUAAGAAAACAUACAAAUUUUAUUUAAUUUAUCUUUUUCCUAUAAAAACAUCAUUAAUUACAACUAAUCCAACCAGUAAAAAAAUAUAAUUAAUUAAAAAUUAUUAAAUACAUUUAAUGUUUGCAUAGAAAAGUGAAAACAACACUUAUAUUAAAAAAAAAUAAAAAACCUUAAAACUACACUUAAUUAAAAACAACGAGAGUAUAAGUGAUCUACAUUCAAACCGAACUAAUGCAAUGAUCCGACGAUCCAAUCCAGUUUUAGACUAAUGCAUUGAUCCGACGAUCCAAUCCAGUUUUAGAGCAUUAGUUUGGUAACUUAUCUCGGACAUAGAAAGUUUUGAUUAAGAUUUUUUUUUUUUUUUUUCCUUUUUGGAGCUACGAAAGAUUUAAAUAAUUUAUGGUAACACUACAUAUGAGCAAGUAAAGAACUUCAUUAGCGAUAUUUGGGCUCGUUUAACUAAACCCAAUCUAAGGGAGUUAUUACAAACAAACAAUGCCCACGUCUAUCAGCUUUUUUGGGCCUAAAAAAUAAAAAUGCAUGGAGAUUUUAUAUAAACUCCGAACAAGAAGAUGAUUUCAAUCGAAUGUACCUAGAAACCGUCUAAAUCGAAUCUGUAAGAGAAGAAUAAAAUUCAGUACGGACCAGAUGGUUUUGUAUACCAAAUUCAAUCCAUAAAGAAGCAAAUUCCCAACACUACUUAAAAAGAGGUAUCAUUAUUCAAACAUUGGCGCUCCCUCUUCUUUGGACAGGCUUGUAUAUCACCACAGUGACAAACUUAGUCCUGAACCGAUGCGAGAAACCGAGUGCUACAACAGAUCUUGGGGCGUCUCGGUUCUCGAUAUAGAGGUGGUUCAGGACAACAUUCUGUGGCGCAUAAGCCAGUUCCAUGCUACCCUGAUUGCCUAAUAGAGAGUGUUGAAGGUGUGGCGGUACUGCUGGAGGAUCUCUUGUCUCAUCUUCGGUUGAGGAAUACACAUUGUUGUAACUUGAAACCGGUGAUACAGGUACUUCAAAUCCCACAACCGUUGUGUCCUCCUAUGUUUAAGAAAACGAUAAAAGAUUGAAAAAUCGAGCGGGAGACUGGAAAUUACUCGAUUAGUUGGUUGAAGGCAAAAAGGUGUUUUAGCUGGCUUACAUGAUCAUCAGGAUUUUGACUGUUCAUCUUGGAUAAGAUUGCCACCUAGUGCCUGAAACAAAAUAUAAUCAUAACUAAACCGCAAUAGCAUGCAAAGUAAACAAUCAAAAUGAAUGUAGGUCACACCAGCUCAAGUGCCAUUCAAACUAAUCUAAGAGAAAGAGGUGUUUACAUUUCAACUCAAAAACACUGAAGCAGAAAUGAAAACAAUGUUGUUCUCUACAAUGAUGCAAACUCUUAUUUGUGUGAAAUGUAAGACUUUUGUCUAAUCGGUAUCAAAAGUCAAAUAAUUCAUAAUCCCGUAGACAAAUCUAAGGAUCCAAAGAUGCAGACAGUCUUAAGAAAGUUGGACCAGAGAAUCAUAUUUUCCCAUGCCUUCUUCGAAGAAAGUACUAAGGUGGACAAAGGAUUCAAAAAUCAAUGGACCACAGGAGUUAGAAUAGAAACACAUUGAUCAUUAUCACAACAGAGACAAGUUGGAAGACAUAAACUACAUUGUUAUUAUCAUGUACAUCCAAAUUCCACAGCUAAUUCUUCUCUAUGUACACUGAACAGAUAAUAUAUAGGAUUUAACCAUUUAUUAUAUGAACUCUUUGCACAGUUUUAUCUCAUCUAAAGACCCUUUAAACCUAUUACACACCAUAGGAACCAUAUCUCAGCUAAAGACCCUUUAAACCUAUAAGAAAACCGCAUCAUGCCUACAUCGAAAAUCUAUCAAGCUUCAAGAUUCCAAACACUUCCAAGACAGAACCAUGAAGAAUUUCCUUGCACGAGAAACUAAUCCCCACGAAGUUAUUCGGCUAACCAAAUUCCAUGUUCAGAAUAAAAUUUGUAAAGUCCUCCUAUCAAGUGAUGAUGAAGAAACCAGGCACUUAAAUGCUUAAAGAGAAUCCAAUAUUUGAGGUCUAAAUCCUAUACACACAGAACAAAAUUCCCACAAAUCAACUGGAGAUAUCAAUGAAAGAACUGUACUCACCCAAUCUGAUGAACACACAUACACACUUAUCAACCAAACUGGAACAACUUUAAAACACAACUACUAAGCUUAAAAAUACAUAACAAUGAACACAAUAUCAGAAGCCAAACUGGAGUUAAAAUUCUCACCUUUGGGAAGCUAAGCCCUUCAAAUUACCCUUUCAAAAACGUAGCAGCAAUGAAAGUCUACACAAAUCCUUAAAACAAAAACCUGCAAAAUCAUCAGUAAAUGACCCAUCAAAUGAUAAAUAACACCCACCUAAUAGAAAACCCUAGAAAUCACCGGAAAAUCAAAAUUGAGGAAUCAGUCGCAUAAAAAAUGAAAUUUUGAAUCAUGGGUAUUCGAUUUUACUUCGAUAUCAAUGCAAAUUUCGUAUAAAAUCAGACGGAAAUUGGAAGAACGAAGGAGACGAAACGAAAUUGAGAAAGGCAGAGAAAGAGAAAAAAAGAGAGGGUUUACUCUGUUUUUACUUAACCUAGAAUAUGAUUAGCUCAAUGAUUGAUUGAUUAAUUUUAGACAGCUUCGAGAGAGAAGAUUGGGUUCGUCCUGGAGAUUCUUGACGAACACAGUCGCGACAAGCAUCAGCUUUUGUUUUGCUUAUUGGCUUAAACUUUGCUGUCCUUCGAAAACAUUUUCUUUCCUCAGAAAACAUUUUUUUUCUUCUUAUGGAAACUAUUUUACUCAUUAACUUUCUUUUUAGUUUCCAAAAUAAAUAAUUGACAAAUAAGGAUGUGUGAUUGGUGGUUUGCUUUUGUUCGACUCUAGUGUUCGCUAGACAUGCUGUUUUUCCUCUGAAUAUGUGAAGAUUUCUUUGAUUCUAUGCGAUUCGAUCUUUUACCUUUUUUCGUCUCUUAAGAAUGGUGUUAUCGAGACUAAAUCUUCACUCCUUGUCUAUGCUUCUCAGACUUGAUCGAGGUCUGGUCCUUUCAUGAAACUUCUAUUUAUUUGACAUUUUUAAGACAAAUAUAGAUUGAUGUUCAUUGAGCUUAUUAUAUAAAGAUAGAAAUGCAAUAGUUCUAGUGAGCUUUAUUGAAAUGUAAAGAAGAGAAAAAUGUAAAGGAGCUUAAGGUUUGUCACCAAAAGCCAAUGUUUCUAGAUUUGAUAUUUCAUAAGAUGAAGGAAGAGAGUUCUCUCAAAGUUACAAUCAUAGUUCUCAUUACAUAAUUGUUUAUAUGAAUCUUCUAACUUGUUAAAAUUCUACUUAUGUAGACCUCACAUUGGGUUUGGACUUGUUUUAGUUGUGGACUCUAAUACUCCCCUGCAAACUUAGCAGCGAGUAUGAAAACAAUGAUGAUAAAUUUGUUUUAGUUGAUCGAAGAGCUUAAUUUUCAGUCCAUGAUCCAAUGAAGGCACAUAAUCUUAAUGUUUAUUGUUUCUUGUCGAUUUAUGACAUCACCACAUACGAAAGAAAGUUUGGGCAGUGGUUAUCAGGUUAUAAAGCUUAAAAAUUCUGAAAUCUGAAGGUUGUUGUUCAUCUCAAUAGGAGGACUUGUGUAUCGUUGGUUGGUGGUGGGCAUCCGCGAUACUUUUCUUUCAAAUAAUCUUCAAGAACUAUGCGACUUAUAGUUUUGGUGGGAUUUCAACUACUAUUGCUUUUUUCCUCUUGCUUUGUAGUAUUAUUUAUGACUUUUUUACUUAGGGCUUAAACUUCGAAAAAAUCUCGUUUUCUUUCGGUUUAAUGUUGUAUUUUAUCAAGUAUUUCAUCAUGGUAACAUUAAAAUAACUCUAGAUGACAAAAAAAAAACAAAUUAAAGAGACUCCAACUUAAUUUCCCUAUUUUCUUAGUUUUUUUUUUCUGUUUUUUAGUUCUUCUUUGUAUUUUUUUUUUUUUAAAUUUCAAUACAUAUGAGAUUACUCUAUGGUUUGGAAAACCGCAUGGUACCUAAAUCCUACAACAAUGGAUUCCUUUUCCUUAGGUAUGUUUUCGUAUAUGUAUUUAUCAAUCGAAGAUUUGUAUGGUUUAAUGAAAUAUUUAUCGUGUUUUUGUUAUCCAAAAGAAAGCAAAAUCCAAUAGUCCCGAAAACCCAUGCAACCGUGUACAUAAUAAUAUAUAUAUUUAAAAAUCCAUGUCCAAUCUCCAAACCAUUUUAAAACAAGAGAAACAAUAGUUUGAAAAUAUAGAAAAUUGCGUGUGAGUGUGUCAUAAUUCAUAAAUGCAAAGACAAAUGUUUGAUCUUUGAUUGUAAUUUCUGAAACUCACGGACUUUCCUACCUCUUUCUGAUCUUCCCGACCCCAUCAACACUUUUUUGUAUCUCUAUCACACAUAUAAAAUCGUAUUUUGAUUAAUACCAUUUUCCAGCCAUUUUGCCUCUGUCCUCUCCUACUUACUCUUCUCUCUUAUGUUUCCAGCCAUCACUCACGAGCCCAUUUAUGAACUUUAACCCUAAACCAGUGUAUAUCUCCUCCCACUUAUAUAUCCCUCACAUUAUCAUUCCAAACUCUCUCAAAAAAACAAAAAUAAUUACUUCAAACUAAAACCCAAUGUUCAACACAAGAGUUCAUAUUGUCAUUAUCACUCUAAACCUUUUAUUCUUGUACGCUGGAGGGAGACUAAUACCACUGGAGAGUGUUCCAAGCUCGUCGAUGAUGCCUUUAUCAGUCGAAGACACGGUCAAAUUGAAUCCGAGGAAUCAGAUUUUUCAUGGGACACAAGUAAAGAGUUGUAUGCCUAAAGGGUUCCGACCAAGAUCCGCUCCGAGCCGGUUUGUAAAUUAUCAGCCUCUUGUUUCCAUUAAGUGUUCCUCAUCUAAAGUUACCUCCCGGUCCAAGAUAUCGCCUUGAUUAUUUUCUCUUCUAUUUUGAGAAUUUAAUUAUACAAAUAAGACUGAUGUGUUGAUUCUUUUGGUGUCUAUAUUUAUGAAGACGUAUGUAAUGCAAAAGUAUGUGUUAUUUUCUAUGCUUUUUUAUUCAAAUUUUUAGUUUUGGAUAACUCUUCUUUAUUGCUUUUAUUCAGGGUUGUUUUUGACCAAUUUCUGACUAAAUUCAUGGUCGAAAAUUGGACAGUUUUCUUGUAGUAGAAAAACAAGAAAAUGUUAAGUUUGUUACCUCAAGUUCCUAUGUAGUGCCGAAUAGAUGAUAACGCAGUUAUAUAGUUCGGAUUUUAUUUUUGGUUGACCAAAAUUUUCGGGGUUUUGGUACGUAGAUUUUUGAACUACAAACAAAAACAGGCUAAAUGAAUCAUUUUCCCACCGCCGAGAACCAAACUCCUGGUCUUGAGAGACUCUUCCUUUUGAAGUUACCCACUACAAAAAUCAAGCUACUAGCCUUGGAUAGGUCGAUAUAUUCAUUUUAUAGGAAAACCAAGAAUACCAAAUGAAGCAUUUUCUUAUAUUUUCUGUCUUUGCAUGGUGAAACUUGAAAGA
This 28418-nucleotide long non-coding RNA is filed under the name Arabidopsis thaliana (thale cress). Its description in RNAcentral is "long non-coding RNA (ATHA_LNC000736)". The record is from RNAcentral. Lineage: Eukaryota; Viridiplantae; Streptophyta; Magnoliopsida; Brassicales; Brassicaceae.